Molecule: ribosomal RNA, 497 nt
Filed under: uncultured bacterium
Lineage: Bacteria
Description: partial 16S ribosomal RNA
Rfam family: Bacterial small subunit ribosomal RNA
Source: RNAcentral
GAUGAACGCUGGCGGCGUGCCUAAUACAUGCAAGUCGAGCGAACAGACGAGGUGCUUGCUCCUCUGACGUUAGCGGCGGACGGGGGAGUAACACGUGGAUAACCUACCUAUAAGACUGGGAUAACUUCGAGAAACCGGAGCUAAUACCGGAUAACAUGUUGAACCGCAUGGUUCAACAGUGAAAGACGGUCUUGCUGCUACUUAUAGAUGGAUCCGCGCCGCAUUAGCUAGUUGGUAAGGUAACGGCUUACUACGGCAACGAUGCGUAGCCGACCUGAGAGGGUGAGCGGCCACACUGGAACUGAGACACGGUCCAGACUCCUACGGGAGGCAGCAGUAGGGAAUGUGCAGCAAGGGGCGAAAGCCUGAGGGAGCAGCGCCGCGUGAGUGAAGAAGGUGUUCGGAUCGUAGAACUCUGUUAUUAGGGAAGAACAAAUGUGUAAGUGACUAUGCACGUCGUGACGGUACCUAAUCAGAAAGCCACGGCUAACUACGUG